UGAGGAAUAUUGGUCAAUGGACGGAAGUCUGAACCAGCCAAGUAGCGUGCAGGAUGACGGCCCUAUGGGUUGUAAACUGCUUUUGUAUGGGGAUAAAGUUAGGGACGUGUCCCUAUUUGCAGGUACCAUAUGAAUAAGGACCGGCUAAUUCCGUGCCAGCAGCCGCGGUAAUACGGAAGGUUCAGGCGUUAUCCGGAUUUAUUGGGUUUAAAGGGAGCGUAGGCUGGAGAUUAAGUGUGUUGUGAAAUGUAGACGCUCAACGUCUGACUUGCAGCGCAUACUGGUUUCCUUGAGUACGCACAACGUUGGCGGAAUUCGUCGUGUAGCGGUGAAAUGCUUAGAUAUGACGAAGAACUCCGAUUGCGAAGGCAGCUGACGGGAGCGCAACUGACGCUUAAGCUCGAAGGUGCGGGUAUCAAACAGGAUUAGAUACCCUGGUAGUCCGCACAGUAACGAUGGAUGCCCGCUGUUGGUACCUGGUAUCAGCGGCUAAGCGAAAGCAUUAAGCAUCCCACCUGGGGAGUACGCCGGCNACGGU
RNAcentral lists this ribosomal RNA (538 nucleotides) under uncultured bacterium. RNAcentral's name for it is "bacterial SSU rRNA". It matches the Rfam family "Bacterial small subunit ribosomal RNA", at positions 355 to 895 of the family's 1533-position model. The record is from RNAcentral.